Molecule: long non-coding RNA, 1845 nt
Filed under: Sus scrofa (pig)
Lineage: Eukaryota; Metazoa; Chordata; Mammalia; Artiodactyla; Suidae
Description: lncRNA (ENSSSCG00040018363.1)
Source: RNAcentral
GUCUGUUUGUCUUUUCUAGGGCUGCAGCUGCAGCAUAUGGAGGUUCCCAGGCUAGGGGUCGAACCAGAGAUAUAGCUGCUGGUCUACACCAGAGCCACAGCAAUGCCAGAUCCAAGCCAUGUCUGUGACCUACACCACAGCUCAUGGCAAUGCCGGAUCCUUAACCCACUGAGUGAGGCCAGAGAUCGAACCCACAACCUCAUGGUUCCUAGUCGGAUUCGUUAACCACUGAGCCACGACAGGAACUUGGGUUAUUGUUGUUGUUGCUUGUUUGUUUGUUUUGCUUUUUAGGGUGGCACCUGCAGCAUAUGGAGGUUCCCAGGCUAGGUGAAAACAUCUGAUCAUGACACUGUCUUACUUAAAAUCUUUCGCUGACUACACCACCUGUAGGAGUGUCCAGAUUUCUUAAGGUGGUUGGUUGGACUCUAAACUUCCCUUCCACUCUCACAUUCCUUGUCCAACCUUCCAGGUAAUCUUUGAACCACAGCUUCCUCUGGGCUAUCACAUACUAGUCCCUCUAUUGAUAACUUUCUUCCUUUUCCCCUUCUUCUCCUUUGCCUGCUUAACUCUUCGUCCUCUAGGUCUUGCCUCAGAUGUUACUAGGUUAGGAACCCCCCCACACACACACACUCAUUAAAUCUUCCCUGCCAGACUGAGUUCCUGAGGCAUCUAGCACAGUCUCUGACACAUGAUAGCUCAAUGUGUUCAGUGAACGAUGUGGUAGAGAAAAUGGAUUGGAGAAGGUCACUGGCCAGCAGCACUAGCGAUCCAGGUGAAACAGGCUUGCAGCGACACUGUGCAGGGGGUGUAGCAACUUUCCCUAUGUAACAGCUUUGAAAGGAUGGCUUCUCAAGCAGAAAUAUAAAUUCUGUAACUUUUGUCUUUAAAAUGUUACUUAAAAGUGUUACUUACUCAUCCAGUUACUUCACUAAGCUCUCUCUUCAAUAAGCAUGAAGAUGAGCAGCAGAAGAAAACUAGGGUCCUCAUAGGCAGCUCCCUAGCACUGCAGAAAUGGUGCGGAAGCACUGGAGGAUAAAGCCUUCAGGUCAAAAUUCACCUCCUGUUCCAAGGCAGGAGCUCUCUGCUCCGCAGCUCUGCUCACCUGCCACCCUGACAGCCCAGCACGGGGACUGCAGCUCAGACAACUCCGGGGUCUGUACCUUUAAGUGAUGUGAAAGGCAGGUGGGUUCAUUCUAAGAAUCUCCUUUGCCAAAACAGUUUUCACCUUCCCCAGCCUCUCACAGCCUCUGGCCCAGGAACGCAGUUCCCUUUUCUGAAGAAAGGCCUCCCUACCCUUACCCCACUCUUAUCUCCUGCCUAAUUCCAGUCUGUCGGUACUGACCUCAAAUGCUGCCUCUUCCUCCGACCCUUCUCUCCCCCGACUCCCACAGCAUCUUACACCCACCACUGUCAUUCCCACAACACAUAUGUAUUGAGACUUACUGGGUACUAGAUGCUUGCUUCUUCUAGAUGCUGGAGAGAGCAAUAAACAAACAAACGGACCAAAUGUCCUGCCCUCGCAAGGGCUCCCAUUCUAACACCACACUGAAUCCAAACUGUGCCUAUCCCGUUACCAGCAUGGGCCACAUCUUACUCAUUUUCACAGCUCGGUGCCCAGGUCAGAGACCGGCACAGAAUGCAGGUGCCAAGUGUAACUGAACUCAGCUGAAUGCCCAUCACAAGAACAAGUGUUCAGGACCCCAGCCGCUCAUCCUCCUUUCUCUCUAUAAUCCCACCCCAUCGAAUUACCGUAAGGCUUCUCCCCACCUCGACCUCAGACCUUUCUUCCCUGUGUCCCCGAUCCCUGUUUACUUGGCUACAGAGGGUUGGAAAUAGCCCCACACU